UAGAGUUUGAUCCUGGCUCAGGGUGAACGCUGGCGGUGCGCCUAAUACAUGCAAGUCGAGCGUGAUCUUGAAGCAAUUUAAGUGAAAGCGGCGGACGAGCGAGUAACGCGUAAGUAUCUACCCCGCACUCAGGGAUAACUCCGAGAAAUCGGAGCUAAUACCGGAUGUCCUGGCAACAGGAAAGAUUUAUCGGUGUGGGAGGGGCUUGCGGCCUAUCAGCUUGUUGGUGAGGUAAUAGCUCACCAAGGCUUUGACGGGUAGUUGGUGUGAGAACACGACCAGCCGCGAUGGGACUGAGACACGGCCCAUACUCCUACGGGAGGCAGCAGUAGGGAAUCUUCCGCAAUGGGCGAAAGCCUGACGGAGCGACACCGCGUGGUGGAUGAAGCUUUUCGGAGUGUAAACACCUUUUCUAGAGGAAGAAGAUCUGACGGUACUCUAGGAAUAAGGACCGGCUAAUUACGUGCCAGCAGCCGCGGUAAUACGUAAGGUCCGAGCGUUACCCGGAAUUAUUGGGCGUAAAGCGUCCGCAGGUUGCGAGUUAAGUUGAUUAUGAAAUACCAGCGCUCAACGUUGGUGCUGUAGUCAAAACUGGCUUGCUAGAGGAAUGGAGAGGUGUGUGGAAUUGUGCAAGUAGGGGUAAAAUCCGUAGAUAUGCACAGGAACACCAAAAGCGAAGGCAGCACACUGGACAUUUCCUGACACUCAUGGACGAAAGCGUGGGGAGCAAAAGGGAUUAGAUACCCCUGUAGUCCACGCCGUAAACGAUGCAUGCUCGGUGUAGGUUCCCUCGACCUGGAAUCUGUGCCUAAGGUAACCCGAUAAGCAUGCCGCCUGUGCAGUACGAGCGCAAGCUUAAAACACAAAGGAAUAGACGGGGACCCACACAAGCGGUGGAUCGCGGGGUUUAAUUCGUUAAUAAGCGAGUAACCUUACCCAGGCUUGACAUCCCGAUCGUAUUCUGUGGAAACACGGAAGUCAGUUCGGCUGGAUCGGUGACAGGCGCUGCAUGGUUGUCGUCAGCUCGUGCCUUGAGGUGUGCGGUUAAGUCCGUAAACGAGCGCAACCCUCGUCCUGUGUUGUAUUUUCACGGGAGACUGCCGGUCAUAAACCGGAGGAAGGUGAGGAUGACGUCAAAUCAGCAUGGCCCUUAUGCCUGGGGCUACACCCACGAUACAAUGGCCUGUACAGACCGAAGCGAUGUGGCAACACGGAGCAAAUCGGAUAAAACAGGUCUCAGUUCGGAUUGAAGUCUGCAACUCGACUUCAUGAAGUUGGAAUCGCUAGUAAGCGUGUAUCAGUCAUGGCACGUUGAAUAUGUUCCUGGGUCUUGUACUCACCGCCCGUCAAGGCACGGAAGCUGAGGGCGCCCAAAGUCUGCUUAUUUAAAGUGGCCUAAGGCGAAAUCAGUGACUGGGCUUAAGUCGUAACAAGGUAACC
RNAcentral lists this ribosomal RNA (1440 nucleotides) under uncultured bacterium. Its description in RNAcentral is "bacterial SSU rRNA". It matches the Rfam family "Bacterial small subunit ribosomal RNA". The record is from RNAcentral.